GUGGUUGUAGCUCAGUGGUAGAGUACUUGCCUGGCAUGUGUGAGGCAUUGAGUUCAAACCUCACCACCACA
Molecule: transfer RNA, 71 nt
Filed under: Marmota monax (woodchuck)
Lineage: Eukaryota; Metazoa; Chordata; Mammalia; Rodentia; Sciuridae
Rfam family: tRNA
About the family: Transfer RNA (tRNA) molecules are approximately 80 nucleotides in length. Their secondary structure includes four short double-helical elements and three loops (D, anti-codon, and T loops).
Source: Rfam by way of RNAcentral